Long non-coding RNA from Taeniopygia guttata (zebra finch), 3736 nucleotides. Lineage: Eukaryota; Metazoa; Chordata; Aves; Passeriformes; Estrildidae. The record is from Ensembl.
GAAAAGAACCUGUUUAUUCAACGAACAAAGCACUCCCCAGCACCAAAACAAUUAACAACACCAGAUGACAGCAAAACUCUUUCACCCCUCUGAAGAGCUGAACAAAUCCAGAAAGUCUUUCCUGGGAGUGGUCGCCCGGGUCUGGACGCUGGGGAUUGCUCUCCAGCACUGGGAAUGGCUGCUGCAGAUCACAAAGUGCAGGCUCCUGGUGUUCCUUGGUGUUUCCCAGAUCCCAGUCCAGAGCAGGUUGGAUGGUGUUCAGGAAGAGGAAAGGAAAAAGCAACAGUCCAGGGAAAGAAUUGGACUGCUUAGCUAACCUAACUAGGAAGCAAAGGCAAAAGCAGAAGCAAGCAAAGCAAGCAAGCAGGCAAAGCAAGCAAGCCAAGCAAGCAAGCAAGCAAAGCAAAAGCCAGCCAGCCAGCCCUAGCCUUUUCUAGACAGCAGACCAUGGGGGGAGGUGAACCAGAUGAUAACAAGGCAAAACAAACCUUCACUUUCAGAGUCAGUUCUGAAAGCACAGAACAUAAUAUCAAACGUAAACAGAACAUACUAUUGGAGAUACAAACACCGUAACGUCACCCUAGGAGGCUUAAAGCCUCAUCCAACCUGACCUUGAGCACUUCCAGGGAUGUGGCAGCCACAGCUUCUUGGGAUCCUCAAGUAGGAUGGAUAGGAAACAGAACCUGUCCUUCAGAGUCUAGGAUUCUCAUGUGGUGGUGUGAAGUGAGAGGGCUGGAGUAAUCAGCCCCAUGUUCACCGCCUUCCUGAGAGGGUCCCAUGGGUGAGGAAGGGUCAGGAUCUCUUCAUGGGGUAAGAAUUCACAGCCACCAACCUUCCUUCUGGCAUUCUUGGUGGAGUCUCCUCACAACCAUCAUAGCUCCACUGGUUCACACCUAUCUGCAAUUGGAGACCAAUUGCAAUUGGAAACCAGAGGAGGCAAAGUCCCCUGAAAAGCCAGACCCAUGCCACAAAGAGAGGUGUUCUUUAAUUAUGACACCAGAUGGGAUGGGCAUCAGUCCACAGGCAAUUAUUUCUGAAAAAUGCUUGUGGUUGCCCUCCAACAAAAGAUUGAAAGGCAGGGUACACAUAAAUGUGCAGCUACUGAUGCCACAGAGAACCAAGAGGUUGGCAUAUUUUUAAAAUAUAAGCCCUUUAUAGGCUGAAAAAAUGCAUUUUUUCUGCCAACAGCUCAUUUUAAAAUAGUAUUUUCUGGAGAGCUUCUUUUCAGGGAACUGCAAAGAUGAGUGCCAUGAGAAAAGCAUUACUUCAGAAUACGUGAUAAGGAAAGUGUUGGGGAGCUGCAGCUGUGCCUGUAGUGUCAACCUCUGAUUCUUUACGGUUGUAUCUGAGAACAUAUGAGGCAGGAGCACCCUGUCAGUAUCCACAGUCCACAGUUUGAGUGCCAGAAUCAAAACCAGCGAGCAGUCAGAACCAGGCCAUCCAGCAUGUCUGCUCUGUGCAGACCUGCUCAACCCAUCACUUCUCCUACCAUACCGAACCUCUGCAUGACUUUUGUUGAAUCAUGAAGCUGCAAAAGGCAGACAGCAGCUUGAGCUGGUUCCACUGUUGCCUUCUUUGCACGCUUCUAUGCCACGAGAACACACUCAGAACUGCUCCUGAUGCCCAGCACCGACCCCACCUCACCAUGUCCAGGCUGGUAUCUUCCAGACUGUGAUCAACAACUAAUCAGCUCAUUCCAGGCCCUGCACCACAAGCUGAUACACUCUCCUCUCCUCUCCUAAGUCUACAUUGUGGCUGGAUGGCAGACACUAUUGCCUUCAGGUGAUUAGCCAGACUCUUCUGCCAUCCAUGUAAUUUUCCUGUAAGCCUGAGAGGUGGUAGGCCAAGUAGACUGCUUCUGACUCAUUGCCAGCCAUCAUAUAUCCAUGAGAGCCUCUCUUCUUCAGGAAGCAUCUGACUGUGCCAGAACCACAGAUAAGAAUCAUACUCACUUGAUGUGGUCCACACUUACAAUAAUCAGAGGGCACAGUACUGCAACAUAUUCCAGGGCUUCAGGUAGUAGCUGCCAGCAUUAAUAAUCCAGUUUUUUCUUUCGUUAUCAUGCUAUAUGUGUGAUGCCUAAGUCAGAUGGUGACUUUACCCAACAGCACUAUGUUGCUGAGACGUGAGGCUAUGGGAAGUGAGGAUGCCUCUGUAAAGCAGGGGAAAGUUGUGAUAUUGGGAGGACACAGGUGGGAGGAGGUGUGAUAUUGGUGAGUGGCUGGUGCUGCAGAACUGUGUACCCCUCAGGGUGUUACACUUGGUUUUGCUCCUUGAUUUAGAAGACACAGAAAUAGGCUGCCAAGAUGCUGUUGCUGCUGCUCACCAUCUCAUAUCAGAGGAAAGACCCACUCUUUGACUCCUGAACCUUCUUUUGGUCUUGAUCAUCCUCUCCCUAUCAGCCAGAGCUGCCAAAGCUGCAUGAUUUGUCUGAAAGAGUGCUGAGCCACUGAACAGCACAGGCCUGACUGUGUGAAGGCCAAGCCAAAUGGCAGUGUCCCCAGAAGGCUCCAACCAAGCCUUUGGAUACUUUGGGUAGUCAAACCAACAGGGCUGAGGGUACGCUGCUUCCCUGGGGAAGCAGCUCAGUGUUUAUAGAUGAGCCUGGGUCUGGAGUCCUGCUGUGCUGUAGGGCAGGUGGUGUAGCUGUAGGAGGCCAAGCAGAGGUAAUUCUCUGCCCUCCUUGACUCAGGCUUGAGGAUAAAGUAUGCAGCUCCUUCUCCUCUGUGGAUGAGAGGAUCUAACCUGCAUGCCAGAGGAAAUUUUCACGGUUUCUGAGUCUCUAGAGCAGAUUUCUUUCCAAUUACCUCCUGCAAUACACUGUAUUCAAAGCAGGGUUCUUGCACUAUGAGAGAAUGUUGGUGUUCUGAAGAUCUACAGUUUUUCUACUUUGCUCUGAUAUUGUCUGUAUUUACUGUCCAGACCAGUUGUAGUGCAGCUGAGGCCAGCAGACAGCAAAUGGGGGCUGGUUUUGGCUUUCUGUGGCCCUACAUAUAUUCCAUGGUUUUACAGGAAUUCUGCCCCUAAGCAAAGAUGGGUACCGUGGUGUUUCUUGGCCCCAGCCUAACACGAAGAUUGCACAGAGCAUCUGAAGGGGAACGCCACCAGUGGGAGCACUGGAGCAGGACCGAGGAUGUAGCUGUGCUGUGUUUGUGCCAUCUUUUUGGGAUAAUAAUUCAAAGAUAUUUGAUGAACACGUUCUCUAGUACACUUCCAUAAAUAUCCCAAAGAUGCUUUCUUCAUUCUUUUAAACACUAUUUUCAUCUUCAUUCAACAUGUUUUUGUGGCUGUGAAUUACUUCCUCUGAUUUCAAUGUGAGACACUUCCUAACCUCUCUGAAGCCACUCAUAAUUCUAAGAAAAAACACUAAAAUUAUGUUUUAUCUCUUACAUCAAAGCCUGAAAGCCAAGAAAUUUUAAACUUCAUAAAACUGGGGACACAAAUAUGUGUCUUGGGCACUAUGUUGUUAAAAUCCUGAAAGGGGUUUUUGGGUAGAUAUAUUUUCUCAUUUCCUCAUGAAAUAGAGGGCCUUAUCUAUCUAUCUUGGUUCUCCUAAAAAUGCUUGCAGAAGAAACAUCAAGAGGGGUCCUUGAAAAGGGAUUUGUUCUCAGAAUGCCUUUAAUUCUGCAGACUUUCAUUUUUCUUAAUAUCUUUUUAAGUCAAGUGCCUGAGGCUUCUUGCUUUUCUUGAAAAUGAUCCCAAUUCCCAGCCCCCCUCCAAAAAAAAAAAAAAAAAA